Molecule: unclassified non-coding RNA, 242 nt
Filed under: Hevea brasiliensis (rubber tree)
Lineage: Eukaryota; Viridiplantae; Streptophyta; Magnoliopsida; Malpighiales; Euphorbiaceae
Source: RNAcentral
UGGCCAAUGCAACUACGAGGUCGCCUUAUUUUUAUGUCAGAAUCAUAAACUGAGCUUCCUAUUCGUGGAACUCCAGUUUGAUAAACAUGACGUGUAGAUAGAAGUGCUUUCAAUUUGGGAGAGGUGGCAGCCACCUGACAUGCCACUAUCUUUAAUGCGGUAUCUGAAGCAGGGAGUUUUGGUUUGUUAGGUUUAACGCCCAGCUUUCGCCUACAUCUUACAGCACCACAGUGGCAAUCUUG